Long non-coding RNA from Daphnia magna, 1069 nucleotides. RefSeq lists it as uncharacterized. The record is from RefSeq and is a predicted model, not a curated record. The transcript is spliced from 4 exons. NCBI's taxonomy places the organism in Eukaryota, Metazoa, Arthropoda, Branchiopoda, Diplostraca, Daphniidae.
UGCGAGAAGGAACGGCUGCCGGUCGUUUUUUUAUUAGCUUUUGGUGACAUUUUGUGUGAGUCGAAAAAGAAAUUUGUGUGUGUGUGUGUGUUUAUGGAAGGCGUUCCAGCUGAAAUAUUUUGGGAAUUAUGGUGAAUAUUUUGCGUGUGUGUUGAUGGAAAGCGAUUCCGGCGGAUUGGGUGGCGAAACUGUGUGUGUGUUUGUUUAUGGAAAGGGAAAAAUCUAUUAGCCCCCGCUAGGGGGACUCUCUCUUGCGCCUACCAGCAGCCGCCAGCCGGCUGUGUUGUUGACAAGUGAUAGUUCGUCGUCAUGUCUUUUCAUUGGAAUUUUCAUGUCUUCUCAGCACACUUGUAAGUUUUGGCAUGUUAAAGUAUUUUGUGUAAUUGUUACAUCAUGAUGAAAACAUGUGCUACAUGUGUGUUGAUGGAAAGCGAUCUAUUUGCAUUUAGACUGACUGAGAGCUAUCAGUUUUUCCUUUCGAGAAAAAUAAAAGGCCAACACCAUGGUUAAAAAAGGGUUUUUGUUAACCAUGCUCAAAGUUGCCACUACUCGUGUAUCAUCCAAGCUAUCAUGUGUGUUGAUGGAAAGCGAUCUAUUUGCAAUUAGACUGACUGAAAGCUAUCAGAUUGUCCUUUCCAAUUGCUGAAAAAGUUUCUUGGUUGGAUGCCAACAUCAGCCGUGUGAAGGCAACUCUUAAGACUAAGGACUUGCCUAUUAAAGCCGCUGCCUUCCAUAGCGAACACCAGGCUUUUGAAAGCAGCAUGAAUCCAGUUUUGAACAAACCCAAACCACAGCCUCCUGCCCCACCGGCUGAAGCUGCACAGUCGGGCAAGCCAGAGGAUGCUGCCAACGGCUCAACAAUAGUGCUCCCAGAAUUGAUCCGCGGACCGCAGUCCCGACUCCAUCAUGCGAAAUUAAUUGGCCGUGCAUCACCAACUUAUAUCGGAUGGGCGCUCCGUAUUGAAAACUAUUGCUAAAUUUCAUAAAGCUUUACAUAAUUUUGCUUGGACAAUCAUGUGUAAGUGGUGUAUAAAAUGAAAUGCGUGUUGAAUACAAAUUUUAAAUCGCG